This 460-nucleotide ribosomal RNA is filed under the name uncultured bacterium. RNAcentral describes it as "partial 16S ribosomal RNA". It matches the Rfam family "Bacterial small subunit ribosomal RNA", at positions 338 to 795 of the family's 1533-position model. The record is from RNAcentral.
CCUACGGGAGGCAGCAGUGAGGAAUAUUGGUCAAUGGACGAGAGUCUGAACCAGCCAAGUAGCGUGAAGGAUGACUGCCCUAUGGGUUGUAAACUUCUUUUAUAUGGGAAUAAAAUGUUCCACGUGUGGGAUUUUGUAUGUACCAUAUGAAUAAGGAUCGGCUAACUCCGUGCCAGCAGCCGCGGUAAUACGGAGGAUCCGAGCGUUAUCCGGAUUUAUUGGGUUUAAAGGGAGCGUGGGUGGAUUGUUAAGUCAGUUGUGAAAGUUUGCGGCUCAACCGUACAAUUGCAGUUGAAACUGGCAGUCUUGAGUACAGUAGCGGUGGGCGGAAUUCGUGGUGUAGCGGUGAAAUGCUUAGAUAUCACGAAGAACUCCGAUUGCGAAGGCAGUUCACUGGACUGCAACUGACACUGAGGCUCGAAAGUGUGGGUAUCAAACAGGAUUAGAUACCCCUGUAGUC